This 492-nucleotide ribosomal RNA is filed under the name uncultured bacterium. RNAcentral's name for it is "partial 16S ribosomal RNA". It matches the Rfam family "Bacterial small subunit ribosomal RNA", at positions 29 to 507 of the family's 1533-position model. The record is from RNAcentral.
AGUGAACGCUGGCGGUAGGCCUAACACAUGCAAGCCGAACGGCAGCACAGUAAGAGCUUGCUCUUACGGGUGGCGAGUGGCGGACGGGUGAGGAAUACAUCGGAAUCUACUUUUUCGUGGGGGAUAACGUAGGGAAACUUACGCUAAUACCGCAUACGACCUACGGGUGAACGCAGGGGAUCUUCGGACCUUGCGCGAUUGAAUGAGCCGAUGUCGGAUUAGCUAGUUGGCGGGGUAAAGGCCCACCAAGGCGACGAUCCGUAGCUGGUCUGAGAGGAUGAUCAGCCACACUGGAACUGAGACACGGUCCAGACUCCUACGGGAGGCAGCAGUGGGGAAUAUUGGACAAUGGGCGCAAGCCUGAUCCAGCCAUACCGCGUGGGUGAAGAAGGCCUUCGGGUUGUAAAGCCCUUUUGUUGGGAAAGAAAAGCAGCAGGUUAAUACCCCGCUGUUCUGACGGUACCCAAAGAAUAAGCACCGGCUAACUUCGUG